RNAcentral lists this ribosomal RNA (443 nucleotides) under uncultured bacterium. RNAcentral describes it as "partial 16S ribosomal RNA". It matches the Rfam family "Bacterial small subunit ribosomal RNA", at positions 338 to 795 of the family's 1533-position model. The record is from RNAcentral.
CCUACGGGUGGCAGCAGUGGGGAAUCUUGGGCAAUGGGCGCAAGCCUGACCCAGCAACGCCGCGUGAAGGAAGAAGGCUUUCUGGUUGUAAACUUCUUUUAUCAGGGACGAAGCAAGUGACGGUACCUGAUGAAUAAGCCACGGCUAACUACGUUCCAGCAGACGCGGUAAUACGUAGGUGGCAAGCGUCAUCCGGAUUUACUGGGUGUAAAGGGCGUGUAGGCGGGAAAGCAAGUCAGAUGUGAAACCCAUGGGCUAAACCUGUGGCCUGCAUUUGUAACUGUUUUUCUUGAGUACUGGAGAGGCAGACGGAAUUCCUAGUGUAGCGGUGAAAUGCUUAGAUAUGAGGAGGAACACCAGUGGCGAAGGCGGUCUGCUGGACAGCAACUGACGCUGAGGCGCGAAAGCGGGGGGAGCAAACAGGAUUAGAUACCCGAGUAGUC